Molecule: long non-coding RNA, 2629 nt
Organism: Rhineura floridana
Lineage: Eukaryota; Metazoa; Chordata; Lepidosauria; Squamata; Rhineuridae
Exons: 3
Source: RefSeq, a predicted model, not a curated record
UGAUGGAUCCAGCCACCACUUCAUUUCUCCUUGGACCUUGUCUGUGAUCUUGAUUGACUGAUGUGUACAUACUACUAUCAGGUCCUGGAAGGGCAAGACAGUCUUUUGCAGCUGCCAAGAGUGAAAACAAGACCAAUUCACCAGAUUUUUCCAUGACACUAUCAUGCCCAAUACAUGGGCCAGAGUCAUCAGGUCUACCUUGGAAACUGUUAGGACAUAUCCUGUGAGCUUUCUUUCUUAAAUGAAAGAGGAAUAAGAAAGCUGAGACUGAAGAGGGCCUUUGUUACCACAGAUGCUGGACAGCCGUUUGAGAGGGAUUACCAUUGUCCUGAAACCGGAAUCCUCAGAUACAGAGUCCUACAACAGUUGCCCUAAGGAGGAGACAGAUCCCUGCUAUUUCCAAUUUGAUCUGCUAGCGCCACAGCCUGCAUCUUGUCUUUUGAAUUCCAAGGAGACACCUCUACCACUGAACUCCUUUGCGAGGAAGACUGGGGUGCAAAAUAACAACAACAACUACUACUACUAUUAUUAUUAUAAAAUGACUGGAUCAUAGACUCCUUGAAGGAUCAGAAAAGCCCUAAUUAUGUCCCUCCAGAGCGUAGAAAAGAGGGGGAGGGGAAACCUGCCAGAAAAGACAUUGAUGCUUUAAAUGACCAGAUGCAGCACUCAGGGGUGGACCUUCCAUCUUGACUAUCCAGACUACAAAGCUCUGCCAGGUGCUCCAAGACACAGCUAAGAAAAUUUAAGUAUCUUCUGCCUCAGCUGCAGGACUGCUAACCUUGGUCCUGAAUUAGCAGUUUGGUCCUUGUCCAAGACCCUGACCUUUCCUUGCCCUAUCUUCCUAUCAGUCCCAAAACUCAGGGCCUACAGAUUUUCAUCUUGCUUAGGCAAUCAUCUUCCUUUUGAUCAGAACUAGAAUGGGGGUGAAUUGAAGAUGUCCUUGAGAAGAGUGUGUUUGUUCUUGCCUUAUUAACUGUAGAUUAAUUAACUUAUUUAAUAUAAGUUAAUUAACUUAUUAAGUGUAUGAUGUGGCUGAGAGGUCUUUAUGGCUCUUAAACUUUAGAAAAGCCCCCUGUGUACUCAAAGGGCCUGAAGCUCUCUCUACAAAGGCUCACAGUGUAACAACAUUUCAUGGAAUGCCCAUGGGACCACAUGUCAUGGCCAUUCCAGGAAGUGGUGUCAAGCUGGGAGUCUGCAGGAAGAGAUCAUUGGGCUGUGUGUGUGCAAAGGGUUUUCUUAAAGUUCUCUUGACAUUUUUUACAGUUCACAAGAUAGGUGCAGAUGCCAGGGACUGAACUGGAACAUCACCCUCUGCAGGAAAUUAGGUGCUCCACUACUGAGUUAAGGGUUCUCCCUCAAACCUGGUCCCAGGAUAGGGAAAGAGGCAGCAAAUGGAACAUCCUUUUCAGACUUUGCCAUAUGGAAGUUCCUUUACAAAUCUAAACUUACUGAGAGAACUCUGCUACUGCUUGUUGUUAUCUGGAUAAUCAAAUCACAAAGUCCAACUGGCUACCAAAGCAGAACUCUUUUGCUAACUCUAAAAUACUUUAAAUGCAAUUUGUUCAGUAAACUGCAGUACAUUAAAAUUUUAUAUUAAGUAAAUUAUAAGGAAGAGUGCACUUUGCAGAAUUAAAAAAAGUGCUCGGUUAACUUAUCUAUUAUUCCUCUGGGAAAGUUUCCAAAGUAUGUGGAUAGGAAAAAUUCUUAUAGCUCAGCAAAUGAUUUUCAGUACCAUUUCAGACUGCUUUAAGGUCUUCUCCUACUACUAAAAAUGUGAAGCUGUCUGACCACAGAUACAAUUUUUCUAGAUUAUACAAUCUUAUCAAAAACAUAUCAGUAGAAACAGCUAUUAAUCUGUUUGGUGACUAGCAUUAGAGAAUCACUGAUCACUGGAAACUAUUAAGUACUACCAUGUAAAAAAAGUUGUUCUUAAUGGAGAGUUGGGGAUAUGAAGUAAAUGGAAUAAUCCUGUAUAAUACAGACAGCAGUUCUCUGUGUAGCUCUGGCACCACUCACAAGAGGGAGGUAUCAGCAAGCUUGUGGAAACCCCGAUUUUGUAGAAGUACAAAAAACUUUAGGGGGGGAUCUAAGAAGAUAACCCAUCCUCAGAGAACACUGAACAUGCUCAGUGGGCACAUAAUGUUGACUUCAAGGGGGGGAGUGGCUAGAAUCUUUCACACUGCAACAUCUGGUUGCCAGACCCACUUGUAUAAACAAUGGGUUGUAGCCAACUAAACACUGUUGUAUGCAGAAUAACUUCCACAAGUGCCACAUAAUUUUCCUCCUCCUCCCACUCCAUACUGUCCUCGUAUCCACUCUGGAGGGUUGGAGUAAUCCCUAUAGCAGCUUUGGGGGACAUGCAGGAGGAGGAGAGGGAGAAGUUCCACUGUAGUUGCGGACUUAUCUUUUGUGCAGCCCUGACUGAGGGUCCCUGCAGCCCAGAGGGGCCCAUCCUUUGGGUGAGAAGGUGGUGCUGUUGCUUCACGAUCCAUAGCAGUAUUGGCUCCUGACAAUGCCACGGAUCACGAGUUCCCAGAUACACACACCCAUAUAGGCAGUGUGGGCUUCAUUAAGACCGCCUGGCCCACCUACCUGUUGCAUUAGUGCAUCAGUGUGUAUGCCCCAUGUG